GUGGGGAAUAUUGGACAAUGGGCGAAAGCCUGAUCCAGCCAAGCCGCGUGUGUGAAGAAGGUCUUCGGAUUGUAAAGCACUUUAAGUUGGGAGGAAGGGUAGUAACCUAAUACGUUGCUACUUUGACGUUACCGACAGAAUAAGCACCGGCUAACUUCGUGCCAGCAGCCGCGGUAAUACGAAGGGUGCAAGCGUUAAUCGGAAUUACUGGGCGUAAAGCGCGCGUAGGUGGUUCAGUAAGUUGGAAGUGAAAUCCCCGGGCUCAACCUGGGAACUGCUUUCAAAACUGCUGAGCUAGAGUACGGUAGAGGGUGGUGGAAUUUCCUGUGUAGCGGUGAAAUGCGUAGAUAUAGGAAGGAACACCAGUGGCGAAGGCGACCACCUGGACUGAUACUGACACUGAGGUGCGAAAGCGUGGGGAGCAAACAGGAUUAGAAACCCGAGUAGUCC
This 450-nucleotide ribosomal RNA is filed under the name uncultured bacterium. RNAcentral's name for it is "partial 16S ribosomal RNA". It matches the Rfam family "Bacterial small subunit ribosomal RNA", at positions 354 to 796 of the family's 1533-position model. The record is from RNAcentral.